UUCCGUUCACUCCAUCCAGGACGACACACAGCAAGCCUUAGAAUGAAUUUGAACCUGUCGUCCCUGGUGUUGUUGGCAAUCGUAGUCCUCCUCGCCUUUGCAGCUUCGCCUUCGGAAAGUGCGAAUCUCGUGAAAAGGCCGCGACUCGACUUCAAAACUUGGUGGAAACAGAUAUAUCCGGCGGUAGCCGAGAUGGAGGAAGCCGAGCAGAACGGUCAAGAGAAACGCAAUCGAGAUGAAGAUUAUGGUCAUCUCAGAUUCGGUCGGGCUGGUCUAGGUGACGACUACGGUCACAUGCGAUUCGGCCGGAGGAAGUAGAAGGUCCUGCGUAGUUCUAGAAUCACCGAGACCAUGGACGCUCGCAAGAAGCGCCCGAAGAUACAGCAGAGAAUACUCUAACCCGGCUUCACACAGCAGCGAGGAAACUAAGGGAUAACCUCAUCACACGACUCAAUUCCGACUCCAGAACUUAUCGAUGACAUACAGCAUCACGAAGAUUGUUCUGCUCGAUUGAAUAAAUUUCG
Long non-coding RNA from Galendromus occidentalis (western predatory mite), 524 nucleotides. RefSeq lists it as uncharacterized. Lineage: Eukaryota; Metazoa; Arthropoda; Arachnida; Mesostigmata; Phytoseiidae. The transcript has 3 exons. The record is from RefSeq and is a predicted model, not a curated record.